RNAcentral lists this non-coding RNA (145 nucleotides) under Cricetulus griseus (Chinese hamster). RNAcentral's name for it is "Eukaryotic large subunit ribosomal RNA". It matches the Rfam family "Eukaryotic large subunit ribosomal RNA", at positions 985 to 1122 of the family's 3401-position model. The record is from Rfam by way of RNAcentral. Lineage: Eukaryota; Metazoa; Chordata; Mammalia; Rodentia; Cricetidae.
GACCCCAGUGAUGCAGUUUUAUCCGGUAAAGCAAAUGAUUAGAGGUCUUGGGGCCGAAACGAUCUCAACCUAUUCUCAAACUUUAAGUGGGUAAGAAGCCUGGCUAGCUCAGUCGGUAGAGCAUGAGACUGUUAAUCUCAGGGUC